AAGAACGACUCUCGGCAACGGAUAUCUCGGCUCUCGCAUCGAUGAAGAACGCAGCGAAAUGCGAUACUUGGUGUGAAUUGCAGAAUCCCGCGAACCAUCGAGUUUUUGAACGCAAGUUGCGCCCAAAGCCGUCAGGCCGAGGGCACGUCUGCCUGGGUGUCACGC
RNAcentral lists this ribosomal RNA (165 nucleotides) under Croton poilanei. Its description in RNAcentral is "5.8S ribosomal RNA". It matches the Rfam family "5.8S ribosomal RNA". From Rfam's summary of the family: 5.8S ribosomal RNA (5.8S rRNA) is a component of the large subunit of the eukaryotic ribosome. It is transcribed by RNA polymerase I as part of the 45S precursor that also contains 18S and 28S rRNA. Functionally, it is thought that 5.8S rRNA may be involved in ribosome translocation. Lineage: Eukaryota; Viridiplantae; Streptophyta; Magnoliopsida; Malpighiales; Euphorbiaceae. The record is from RNAcentral.